GAUGAACGCUAGCUACGGGCUUAACACAUGCAAGUCGAGGGGUAACAAGAGGAAAGCUUGCUUUUCUUGUUGACGACCGGCGCACGGGUGAGUAACGCGUAUCCAACCUGCCUAUAACUAGGGAAUAACCUUGCGAAAGUAAGACUAAUACCCUAUGAUUUCCUUUGAUGACAUCAGAUUAGGAAUAAAGAUUUAUCGGUUAUAGAUGGGGAUGCGUCUGAUUAGCUUGUUGGCGGGGUAACGGCCCACCAAGGCAACGAUCAGUAGGGGUUCUGAGAGGAAGGUCCCCAACAUUGGAACUGAGACACGGUCCAAACUCCUACGGGAGGCAGCAGUGAGGAAUAUUGGUCAAUGGGCGGAAGCCUGAACCAGCCAAGUAGCAUGCAGGAUGACGGCCCUAUGGGUUGUAAACUGCUUUUAUACAGGAAUAAAGUUAGCCACGUGUGGUUAUUUGUAGGUACUGUAUGAAUAAGGACCGGCUAAUUCCGUGCCAGCCGCCGCCGUAA
Molecule: ribosomal RNA, 506 nt
Filed under: uncultured bacterium
Lineage: Bacteria
Description: partial 16S ribosomal RNA
Rfam family: Bacterial small subunit ribosomal RNA
Source: RNAcentral